RNAcentral lists this ribosomal RNA (253 nucleotides) under Roseburia faecis M72/1. RNAcentral's name for it is "partial 16S ribosomal RNA". It matches the Rfam family "Bacterial small subunit ribosomal RNA", at positions 524 to 776 of the family's 1533-position model. Lineage: Bacteria; Bacillati; Bacillota; Clostridia; Lachnospirales; Lachnospiraceae. The record is from RNAcentral.
UACGUAUGGUGCAAGCGUUAUCCGGAUUUACUGGGUGUAAAGGGAGCGCAGGCGGUGCGACAAGUCUGAUGUGAAAGCCCGGGGCUCAACCCCGGUACUGCAUUGGAAACUGUCGUACUAGAGUGUCGGAGGGGUAAGCGGAAUUCCUAGUGUAGCGGUGAAAUGCGUAGAUAUUAGGAGGAACACCAGUGGCGAAGGCGGCUUACUGGACGAUAACUGACGCUGAGGCUCGAAAGCGUGGGGAGCAAACAGG